UCUUAUCCUAACCGUCCCGUCCCGUCUAGAUCAACAGUACAACAGUUUCAUGAAAAAUUGAUUACGAUUGGAUGCAUCGCCAGUUCUCACUUAAAACGAAAAAGAACCGAAACUGUAGUAGACGAAGAAUUUAAAAUGGAGGUAUGCUUGGCCGUUGAAGAAAAACCAACCAAUAGUCUUACUCAGUUUGCUGAAGUUACCGGAAAAAGUAGGAGUAGUUGCUAUAAGGCAAUCAGAAAAGAAAAAUACAAAUCUUUUAAAAAAAUCCUCACGUCAUCCAGGAAACGCAUACCCAAACAAGACAGAAACUUAACGUGUGGGCAGGAAUUCUUGGAGAUCGAAUAAUUGGACCAUUUUUCAUAGAGGGUAGCCUAAAUACUGCAAAAUAUUUAGAAUUACUUCAGGUACAGGUCAUUCCCGCAUUAGGAAACGAUGUUCAAAAUGGCAGGAUAAUUUUUCAACAUGAUGGCCCGCUCAUAGUGCAGCGACUGUUACCGAGUUUUUGAAUGCCACGUUCCCAGGACGCUGGAUUGGACGUUUUGGGCCAUCUAAAUGGCCGGCGCGAAGCCCCGAUCUUUCGCCUUUAGAUAACUUUUAUUGGGGCUAUCUAUCAUCGAAAGUGUUUGAUAUUGUUAGAGGCAGACCCAACAAUAUCGAAGAACUUCGUAAUAGAAUUAUCGAGGCUUCGCGUACCAUUACUCCCCGGCAGCUCCUAAAUGUUAAAAGACAUUUCUACAACUGUCUGGGCUUUUGUUUGGCUCAAUUUGGAGGUCACUUUGAACAAUUUAUUUGAAAGGUUUUAUUUGUUUAUUGUUGAUUUUUGAAAAUAUAUUUUUGAGAUUUUGAGGAAA
Anthonomus grandis grandis is the source of this 851-nucleotide long non-coding RNA. RefSeq lists it as uncharacterized. NCBI's taxonomy places the organism in Eukaryota, Metazoa, Arthropoda, Insecta, Coleoptera, Curculionidae. The transcript is spliced from 2 exons. The record is from RefSeq and is a predicted model, not a curated record.